GUGGCUGUGCUAGGUCUGAAAGAUAAAGUUGCACAUGAUUUUUAAAAAGGCCUGUUCUUGUCAUCCAUGUUAAGAGCUAAAUAGCCUCUUCUCCCAGGAUUUCUCUAUUGGGAGAAUGACUUUGUCAGAUUUCAAGGACCCCGGGAAGGGGCAUCGUAUUUGAACAAUAUUGAAAUUUGGAUAUCGAAUUCUCCGUAAGCAAAAUGAAGUGUGUUUGACUCUUCAGGUGUGAGAAUUGGCAGCUCCAGCGUUUGCAGUAUAUUAUCACCACACUGUCAGAAAGAGCUCGCAGAUGCCAACUCUGACUAAACUGGGCGUGUUAUAAAUCCAGCAUGAGCAGUGGAUUUCUUAUGCCAACAACGCAUUUCAACCCUUACCUUAUUACCACAUUUCUUGGCUGCUACAGGAUAAAAAUCUUUUAAGCCUUUUACUGCUUGUGUGUGAAAUCUCAGAUAAUGUAGCCAAAUGCAGUGAAAGUUCAGGGCUGUUUUAUGACAUUGGUUUAUCAAAAAUUGUGAUCUACAAAAGCCUGAAAGCACAAAUCCAUUGUUAUCAGAUGAGGUCAAUUACACCACACCCAUUCCCCUGAUGGACUAUCCUUUUCAUUUAGUAAAUCACUGAGGAGGGCUACAGAAAUAUGCACUGUCAGACAAAAACUACUUCGCACUCAAAUGGAAGAAACCGAGUAAAUGUACUCCAUCGCGCAUAAAGACACACUACAUGUGAAUUUCUGAGGCAUGGUCCCUUGUAAUGAAAUUGGUCUGAGUGGGAAUCAACAUAGGAAUGCUGAGAUCUAAUGACAACUUGUCUGGAACAGGAGCCUGGGAGAAACAAAAUAACCGCACUGAAGAUGUCUGGCUGGGAGAGGAGUAGCUCUUGCUGGAGUCAGAUUGAACUGGAUUCUGUUUUCUGGCCAACAGAGAUGGGAGCCAGAGGGGGUGAAUAUUAUCCUUUAUCCUGGACUUCUGGUCCCCCUGCAAGAGAGGCUUGAAGACUAUGCUGCACAUCAAUAUGGCGACCCUCCACAUUGUUCAGAGAGAGGAAAAAAAUUCUCUGUGUGUGUCAGUGGGACAGACAACAGGCCCCACCUGUCUACAAACCAUGAGGCUGUGGGUUUUGGUGGGAUAGGCAACAGGCUGGAACUCUGGAGCUUCUGAGUCCUGAUCCCAAAUCUCAUUACUUCCAAGCCUUGUUGAAAGAAUAUAAACAAAUCUCCAUGCAUUCUAGCUCACUUUACUGGUCUGUUAAUAUCUCCAGAGCCUAGCAUGGUACCCUACAAAUAACAAGAAAUUAAUCUAAAUUUUAUUAAUUAUUUCUUAAGUUGGAAAAAGAAUGUUAACUGAACGUCUCCUCAGGUGGAUAGCCUAAAGUCAGGAAAUCUCUUUGAGGGCAAAAUAUUUUAAAAAGAAACUUAAAUCCCAGCAUCUAUAAUUUCUACAUGUAACUGGUACUUAUUAAAUGCUCUAACUGACCUCAAAUCAUGCCGCAGACACAUACCAAGAUGCAUGUGACCCACAGACAAGUCAUUUAACCUUCACUGUUUUUCAGACAAAUCUCCAAGCCAAUAGAGUAUAGAUGAGUUGCCUUUCUGCAUUAGGGGAGGGAAUUUCCAUCUCACUUGCAGCCAUGAAAUCUUUAUUCAGCACCAUAUAAUUGUUUUAGGGUCUGCUUUUGAGGAUAUUAAAGCAAUGACACUUGGGCAUUUAUAAACAUAGAACAAUGCUCCAGUAGGUGUUUAUUAAUUAUAAAAGCAUAGACACAAUGAUUAGAUACCAACUACAAUUCCUUUACAAUUACAUUAGAUCAUAGAUUUAGAUAUGACAGGAAGAGUGGCAGUCAUUUACUUUGAUCUUCUUACUUUUCAUAUUAUUAUACAGAGAUCCAGAGAAUUAAAUAAAGUAAAGCACCUAAGGUAAUACA
Monodelphis domestica (gray short-tailed opossum) is the source of this 1920-nucleotide long non-coding RNA. The record is from Ensembl. Lineage: Eukaryota; Metazoa; Chordata; Mammalia; Didelphimorphia; Didelphidae.